AGUGAACGCUGGCGGUAGGCCUAACACAUGCAAGUCGAACGGCAGCACAGUAAGAGCUUGCUCUUACGGGUGGCGAGUGGCGGACGGGUGAGGAAUACAUCGGAAUCUACUUUUUCGUGGGGGAUAACGUAGGGAAACUUACGCUAAUACCGCAUACGACCUACGGGUGAAAGCAGGGGAUCUUCGGACCUUGCGCGAUUGAAUGAGCCGAUGUCGGAUUAGCUAGUUGGCGGGGUAAGGGCCCACCAAGGCGACGAUCCGUAGCUGGUCUGAGAGGAUGAUCCGCCACACUGGAACUGGGACACGGUCCAGACUCCUACGGGAGGCAGCAGUGGGGAAUAUUGGACAAUGGGCGCAAGCCUGAUCCAGCCAUACCGGGUGGGUGAAGAAGGCCUUCGGGUUGUAAAGCCCUUUUGUUGGGAAAGAAAAGCAGCAGGUUAAUACCCCGCUGUUCUGACGGUACCCAAAGAAUAAGCACCGGCUAACUUCGUG
This 492-nucleotide ribosomal RNA is filed under the name uncultured bacterium. RNAcentral's name for it is "partial 16S ribosomal RNA". It matches the Rfam family "Bacterial small subunit ribosomal RNA", at positions 29 to 507 of the family's 1533-position model. The record is from RNAcentral.